Long non-coding RNA from Dipodomys spectabilis (banner-tailed kangaroo rat), 126 nucleotides. RefSeq lists it as uncharacterized. Lineage: Eukaryota; Metazoa; Chordata; Mammalia; Rodentia; Heteromyidae. The record is from RefSeq and is a predicted model, not a curated record. The transcript is spliced from 3 exons.
AAGAGUGAGCAGCUAGUAAAAUUAAAUAAAGCUCUGUAUAAAUUGUGUUAAGGUCCUGACAGGACUCUCAUUUUUACAUUUAAAAAAAUACCUGAUUCUAUCCCUGAGAUGGGAAGAUGUAAUACA